Long non-coding RNA from Cryptomeria japonica (Japanese cedar), 288 nucleotides. RefSeq lists it as uncharacterized. Lineage: Eukaryota; Viridiplantae; Streptophyta; Pinopsida; Cupressales; Cupressaceae. The transcript has 2 exons. The record is from RefSeq and is a predicted model, not a curated record.
AGGAGAAGAGUUGAGAGGUGCAUCAAGAAGAGAUGCUGCAGAGUGUGAAAUUGAAAUCAACAACUUCAUGACAGAAGGGUGUUAUGUCCAUCAACGAAAAAUGCAACAUGAGGUGAAGGAUGUAUGAAGAAUGGAUUCCACAUUUCAGUUGUGUUUGCCAUUUUAAAACUUGUUGUAAGUUAUUAUUUUUCUAGAUGAAGCCUUAGAUCAAAUUUCAAUCCUGAAAUAAUUUAAGAUUUUCUAAUUAAUUUCUAGAUGAAUGAUUUUUUAAAAAAUUCAAUUUGGUAA